ACUGUUCCAUUACAACAUCGAUCAUUUUUAAACACAUUGCUGCACUGGAUGUAAAGAAUAAUAAGGAUGGCAGCUUGCAUUAUAUUAGUACACAGCUCUUAUGCAAGUAAAACACUUUUGCCUAACCACAACAUUACAUUUAAAAGGAUGUAGGCUGAUAACGCUAUUUGUAACUGCAAAUUGUUGUCAUUGACUGUAUUUUUUAUUUGGGAGCUGAUUGAGAGCAACAGGUAUUAGAGGUAAAAGCACACACUGCAAACUUCCUGAAAAGUCAACACAUCACAGCUGAGAUGAAGAAAGAACACUUAAGAAUAUUUUGGUCACUAUUGAGAUCACAGUUAUUAUUAUUAUUACCCCAUGAAUAUUUCACCUCACUGAAAAAACGUUUAAUGGUGAAAUUAUGACAUAAAGUGCACAUGAUUGAAGUGAAACUAACAUGCCACAGCCCGGCAGUGAAAAAGAUCACCACUGCAACAUGUAAUACUUUUUCUUGUUUGUUUUCAUUAAUCUAAAUCAUAAAUCUCUGAGCAAAGAAUUGAUUUUUGAAAGGUAAAUGUAACACUAGCUUGACUUUCUUUGAAAUGGCUUACUGUGUACGGUAUGUUGUCUCAUGAAAAGUGAGAUGUUUACAAUAUUAAAAAAAAAAAUCUUGAUAUGCACUCACUAUAUUCUUUAUUAGGAACAUCUUGCUAGUCCUUUUGGGCCAUAUCGAUAUGAUCGCUGCAUGUCUAUGAUGGGAUUCUCACGUUCCACCACAUCCCAAAGGUGCUCUAUUGGAUUGAGAUCCGGUGACUGUGGUGUUUUAUCCUGCUGGAAAAAGCUAUCGGAAAAUGGGAACACUGUGAUCAAUAAUGAUAUAGUCAGCACCAAUUUUAAUAUGUUGUGCAUUCAGAGAUGCUCCCAUGCAUGUAUUUUCUUUUUUGGACUAUUCUCUGCAAACCGUAUAGAUGAUUGUCACCUUUUGUCCUGAACUUCAGCAGGUCAUCUUGAUCAUGUCUACAUGCCUAAAUGCAGAGUUGCUGCCAUGUGAUUGGCUGAUUAGAUAUUUGCAUUACAAAGCAGGUGAACAGGUGUAUCAAACAAAGUGGCUAGUGAGUGUGUGUAAAAUAUGCCUUUUUU
This is a long non-coding RNA of Haplochromis burtoni (Burton's mouthbrooder), 1119 nucleotides long. RefSeq lists it as uncharacterized. The transcript is spliced from 2 exons. Lineage: Eukaryota; Metazoa; Chordata; Actinopteri; Cichliformes; Cichlidae. The record is from RefSeq and is a predicted model, not a curated record.